AGUGUAGGUGGCUCAUUAAGUCACAUGUGAAACCCCCGGGCUUAACCUGGGAACUGCAUGUGAUACUGGUGGUACUAGAAUAUGUGAGAGGGAAGUAGAAUUCCAGGUGUAGCGGUGAAAUGCGUAGAGAUCUGGAGGAAUACCGAUGGCGAAGGCAGCUUCCUGGCAUAAUAUUGACACUGAGAUUCGAAAGCGUGGUAGCAAACA
Molecule: ribosomal RNA, 207 nt
Filed under: uncultured bacterium
Lineage: Bacteria
Description: partial 16S ribosomal RNA
Rfam family: Bacterial small subunit ribosomal RNA
Source: RNAcentral